AACGAACGCUGGCGGCAUGCCUAACACAUGCAAGUCGAACGAGACCUUCGGGUGUAGUGGCGCACGGGUGCGUAACGCGUGGGAACCUGCCCUUAGGUUCGGAAUAACUCCCCGAAAGGGGUGCUAAUACCGGAUAAUGUCUUCGGACCAAAGAUUUAUCGCCUUUGGAUGGGCCCGCGUUGGAUUAGCUAGUUGGUAGGGUAAAAGCCUACCAAGGCGACGAUCCAUAGCUGGUCUGAGAGGAUGAUCAGCCACACUGGGACUGAGACACGGCCCAGACUCCUACGGGAGGCAGCAGUGGGGAAUAUUGGACAAUGGGCGAAAGCCUGAUCCAGCAAUGCCGCGUGAGUGAUGAAGGCCUUAGGGUUGUAAAGCUCUUUUACCCGGGAUGAUAAUGACAGUACCGGGAGAAUAAGCUCCGGCUAACUCCGUG
This 433-nucleotide ribosomal RNA is filed under the name uncultured bacterium. RNAcentral's name for it is "partial 16S ribosomal RNA". It matches the Rfam family "Bacterial small subunit ribosomal RNA", at positions 29 to 507 of the family's 1533-position model. The record is from RNAcentral.